This 524-nucleotide ribosomal RNA is filed under the name uncultured bacterium. Its description in RNAcentral is "partial 16S ribosomal RNA". It matches the Rfam family "Bacterial small subunit ribosomal RNA", at positions 355 to 870 of the family's 1533-position model. The record is from RNAcentral.
UGAGGAAUAUUGCGCAAUGGGCGAAAGCCUGACGCAGCGACGCCGCGUGGAGGAUGAAGGUUUUCGGAUUGUAAACUCCUGUUAAGUGGGAAGAAACGACAAAAUAUAAUACAUUUUGUAACUGACGGUACCAUUAAAGAAAGCACCGGCUAACUUCGUGCCAGCAGCCGCGGUAAUACGAGGGGUGCAAGCGUUAUUCGGAAUUAUUGGGCGUAAAGGGUGCGUAGGCGGCGUAUUAAGUCAACUGUUAAAACCUCCAGCCUAACUGGAGAUCAGCAGUAGAUACUGGUAUGCUAGAGGAUGGAAGAGAGAAGUGGAAUUCUUGGAGUAGCGGUGGAAUGCGUAGAUCUCAAGAGGAACACCAAUGGCGAAGGCAGCUUCUUGGUCCAUAUCUGACGCUGAUGCACGAAAGCGUGGGGAGCAAACAGGAUUAGAUACCCUGGUAGUCCACGCCGUAAACGAUGAUCACUAGAUGUUAAUUCUGCUUGCAGAAUUAGUGUCGUAGCUAACGCGAUAAGUGAUCC